AUGCAAGUCGAGCGGCAGCGCGGGGCAACCUGGCGGCGAGCGGCGAACGGGUGAGUAACACAUCGGAACAUGUCCAGUCGUGGGGGAUAGCCCGCCGAAAGGCGGAUUAAUACCGCAUACGCCCGAGAGGGGAAAGCGGGGGACCGUAAGGCCUCGCGCGAUUGGGUUGGCCGAUGUCCGAUUAGCUUGUUGGUGAGGUAAAAGCUCACCAAGGCGAUGAUCGGUAGCUGGUCUGAGAGGAUGAUCAGCCACACUGGGACUGAGACACGGCCCAGACUCCUACGGGAGGCAGCAGUGGGGAAUUUUGGACAAUGGGGGCAACCCUGAUCCAGCCAUUCCGCGUGAGUGAAGAAGGCCUUCGGGUUGUAAAGCUCUUUUGUCCGGAACGAAACGGUGCAGGUGAAUAUCCUGCGCUACUGACGGUACCGGAAGAAUAAGCACCGGCUAACUACGUGCCAGCAGCCGCGGUAAUACGUAGGGUGCAAGCGUUAAUCGGAAUUACUGGGCGUAAAGCGUGCGCAGGCGGUUUUGUAAGCCAGAUGUGAAAUCCCCGGGCUUAACCUGGGAAUGGCAUUUGGGACUGCAAGGCUUGAGUACGGCAGAGGGGACUAGAAUUCCUGGUGUAGCAGUGAAAUGCGUAGAUAUCAGGAGGAAUACCGAUGGCGAAGGCAGGUCCCUGGGCUGAUACUGACGCUCAUGCACGAAAGCGUGGGGAGCAAACAGGAUUAGAUACCCUGGUAGUCCACGCCCUAAACGAUGUCGACUGGUUGUUGGGGGUUUGACACUCUCA
RNAcentral lists this ribosomal RNA (790 nucleotides) under uncultured beta proteobacterium. Its description in RNAcentral is "bacterial SSU rRNA". It matches the Rfam family "Bacterial small subunit ribosomal RNA", at positions 55 to 842 of the family's 1533-position model. Lineage: Bacteria; Pseudomonadati; Pseudomonadota; Betaproteobacteria. The record is from RNAcentral.